Molecule: microRNA, 21 nt
Filed under: Homo sapiens (human)
Lineage: Eukaryota; Metazoa; Chordata; Mammalia; Primates; Hominidae
Description: hsa-miR-8057
Source: miRBase by way of RNAcentral
GUGGCUCUGUAGUAAGAUGGA